Molecule: ribosomal RNA, 278 nt
Filed under: Pseudomonas putida
Lineage: Bacteria; Pseudomonadati; Pseudomonadota; Gammaproteobacteria; Pseudomonadales; Pseudomonadaceae
Description: partial 16S ribosomal RNA
Rfam family: Bacterial small subunit ribosomal RNA
Source: RNAcentral
UUCGAUUCAGCGGCGGACGGGUGAGUAAUGCCUAGGAAUCUGCCUGGUAGUGGGGGACAACGUUUCGAAAGGAACGCUAAUACCGCAUACGUCCUACGGGAGAAAGCAGGGGACCUUCGGGCCUUGCGCUAUCAGAUGAGCCUAGGUCGGAUUAGCUAGUUGGUGAGGUAAUGGCUCACCAAGGCGACGAUCCGUAACUGGUCUGAGAGGAUGAUCAGUCACACUGGAACUGAGACACGGUCCAGACUCCUACGGGAGGCAGCAGUGGGGAAUAUUGG